RNAcentral lists this ribosomal RNA (443 nucleotides) under Escherichia coli. Its description in RNAcentral is "bacterial SSU rRNA". It matches the Rfam family "Bacterial small subunit ribosomal RNA", at positions 1 to 440 of the family's 1533-position model. Lineage: Bacteria; Pseudomonadati; Pseudomonadota; Gammaproteobacteria; Enterobacterales; Enterobacteriaceae. The record is from RNAcentral.
AAAUUGAAGAGUUUGAUCAUGGCUCAGAUUGAACGCUGGCGGCAGGCCUAACACAUGCAAGUCGAACGGUAACAGGAAGAAGCUUGCUUCUUUGCUGACGAGUGGCGGACGGGUGAGUAAUGUCUGGGAAACUGCCUGAUGGAGGGGGAUAACUACUGGAAACGGUAGCUAAUACCGCAUAAUGUCGCAAGACCAAAGAGGGGGACCUUCGGGCCUCUUGCCAUCGGAUGUGCCCAGAUGGGAUUAGCUAGUAGGUGGGGUAAAGGCUCACCUAGGCGACGAUCCCUAGCUGGUCUGAGAGGAUGACCAGCCACACUGGAACUGAGACACGGUCCAGACUCCUACGGGAGGCAGCAGUGGGGAAUAUUGCACAAUGGGCGCAAGCCUGAUGCAGCCAUGCCGCGUGUAUGAAGAAGGCCUUCGGGUUGUAAAGUACUUUCAGC